GGGGGGAGAGUUCGGAUCCUGGGCUGUGUCCUGGCGCCCUGUGCUCAGGGGCCUGGGCUGUUGGAUUCGCGCUCCUGGGCGGGCAGCCCCCU
RNAcentral lists this microRNA precursor (92 nucleotides) under Canis lupus familiaris (dog). RNAcentral's name for it is "mir-8799 microRNA precursor family". It matches the Rfam family "mir-8799 microRNA precursor family". RNAcentral also lists the same sequence under 1 other name. The record is from Rfam by way of RNAcentral. Lineage: Eukaryota; Metazoa; Chordata; Mammalia; Carnivora; Canidae.